This 762-nucleotide ribosomal RNA is filed under the name uncultured bacterium. Its description in RNAcentral is "bacterial SSU rRNA". It matches the Rfam family "Bacterial small subunit ribosomal RNA", at positions 28 to 784 of the family's 1533-position model. The record is from RNAcentral.
AUUGAACGCUGGCGGAAUGCUUUACACAUGCAAGUCGAACGGCAGCACGGGUGCUUGCACCUGGUGGCGAGUGGCGAACGGGUGAGUAACAUAUCGGAACGUACCCAGUAAUGGGGGAUAACUAGUCGAAAGAUUAGCUAAUACCGCAUACGCCCUGAGGGGGAAAGCGGGGAUCGUAAGACCUCGCGUUAUUGGAGCGGCCGAUAUCUGAUUAGCUAGUUGGUGGGGUAAAGGCCUACCAAGGCGACGAUCAGUAGCUGGUCUGAGAGGACGACCAGCCUCACUGGAACUGAGACACGGUCCAGACUCCUACGGGAGGCAGCAGUGGGGAAUUUUGGACAAUGGGCGCAAGCCUGAUCCAGCCAUUCCGCGUGAGUGAAGAAGGCCUCGGGUUGUAAAGCUCUUUCGCAAGGGAAGAAACGAUACGAGCGAAUAGCUCGUGUUAAUGACGGUACCUUGAUAAGAAGCACCGGCUAACUACGUGCCAGCAGCCGCGGUAAUACGUAGGGUGCGAGCGUUAAUCGGAAUUACUGGGCGUAAAGCGUGCGCAGGCGGUUUUGUAAGUCAGAUGUGAAAUCCCCGGGCUCAACCUGGGAACUGCGUUUGAAACUACAAGGCUAGAGUAUAGGAGAGGGGGGUAGAAUUCCACGUGUAGCAGUGAAAAUGCGUAGAGAUGUGGAGGAAUACCAAUGGCGAAGGCAGCCCCUGGCCUAAUACUGACGCUCAUGCACGAAAGCGUGGGGGAGCAAAACAGGAUAGAUA